This is an RNA transcript of Sciurus carolinensis (gray squirrel), 2090 nucleotides long. It is a transcript of the gene named IZUMO family member 4, with no coding region annotated. The record is from RefSeq and is a predicted model, not a curated record. Lineage: Eukaryota; Metazoa; Chordata; Mammalia; Rodentia; Sciuridae. The transcript is spliced from 9 exons.
GGCGGGGGCGGGCCAUGGCCCUGCUGUUGUACCUGGGCAUGACUGCGGCACUGGCCCGCGGCUGCCUGCACUGCCACGACAACUUCUCAGAGAAGUUCUCCUUCUACCGCCACCACGUAAACCUCAAGUCCUGGUGGGUGGGCGACAUCCCCGUUUCGGGGGCGCUACUCACCGACUGGAGCGAGGACACGAUGAGGGAACUGCACUUGGCCAUCCCGGCGGAGAUUACCCGGGAUAAGCUGGACCAAGUGGCGGAAGCAGUGUACCAGAGGAUGGAUCAGCUGUACCAGGGGAAGAUGUACUUCCCGGGGUAUUUCCCCAAUGAACUGCGAAGCAUCUUCCGGGACCAGGUGCACCUCAUCCAGAACGCCAUCAUUGAAAGCCGCAUUGAUUGUCAGCGUCACUGUGGCAUCUUCCAGUAUGAGACCAUCUCCUGCAACAACUGCACGGACUCACACGUCAUCUGCUUUGGCUACAACUGCGAGUCAUCAGCGCAGUGGGAGACAGCUGUGCGCGGCCUUCUCAGUUACAUAAAUAAUUGGCACAAGUAAGUCCCUCCUCAGACCCAGCACAAGUGUUGUCAGAGGCAGUAGGCCUGUGCGCGUUCCUGGACAGGACACCAGCAUGAGGUAAGGCUGCCCUCGACUUCUAGAGGGAAUGGACACAAUGGGUUCCUCUGGGCUGGGGACAGGGAUGUUGGACUGGUGGGUACCACGGGCAGGGCUGUCUCUGCACCUGGGAUAUGCCGGACCUGCUCUGCUACCACCCGAGUGGUAAUUUCAUGAACAUAUGGCUUCCUCCAUCUCCGCGCCUGGGACGUGCAGAACCACCCCAGCCUUCCUGAUAUCACCAAGCUUCACGUGCCUGGAGCCACAGCACCUGGCCAACUUGACCUUGGAAAAUGCCUCGGAGUGUCUGACCCAGCACUGAGGGCCACUACCUUGCCCCCAGCUGCAGUGGGGCAAGGGACUCAGCUGGACUUUCUCAGCCUGUCCCUCUGAUGCAGGCUUGCUGCUGCCUCUGGUCCCCCCUCCAAACCCAGAGAGCCCAGGAUGGGUCAGGGUGGGGGGCGGGGAAGGGAGAUGGGUUCGUGUCUAGCACCAGCCCUGGGCAGGGUCUCGGAGCUGUUUGAUAGGACGAUUAAAGUUCCCUGACAUUUCUCAUCCAAGAACAGUUCUUGCCAGGCAGGAGGGGUACCCGCCUGAGUAUGGCAGGUUCUGGCCUGCGGUCCACAGGCAGGAGUAACAGCCGGCCUGGGCCACUGCCACGGAGCCACUGUCAGGUCCAGGGAUUCCCGAACAUCCUACCUAGACUCCUGAACAUAUGUGGGCAGGGUCAUGGGAAGUCACACCAAGGAAGCCGUGGGUUCUUCUGAUGGCACAAGACGAGGCUGCGCCAGGUGAGAGCCAGGCCAGCUUUACUUUUUUGGGGGCUCUAGCCACUUAAGAUGGACGCAGGCCAAAGGAGCACAGCAGCUGCCGCAGUUUCUGCUGCAUCAUCGUUGGUCCGUGUUGUGACACCACAGCUGCAGUGGGCAGGCCCCUCUGGUGAAGGCCACCCUGCAGCAGGCAGGAGGGGCGGCUCUCACACCUACACCUGCGUAAUGCGGCAGAGCGCAUGCUCUUUCUGGGGACGGCUUGCGGCUCUGCUUAGCCUCCCCGUGAGCAUGUGCGGGGCCUGCAGGUGUCCUUGUGCUGUGGCAGGCCUCUCCCAGCCAGCCCUCCAUUCUGGGGGUCAGGGCCACUGGGAAUCGUACCACCUCAGCAGCUGGUCACUGACCCUAGGUCUACCUUUAGGGGCCCCUGUAGGGGUACUGACCAGGAGAUAAAGUGGAUUUUUGGAGAAACAGGAAGUUAAGACAGUGGAGUCUGGAGAAGGGGCCCGUCCUGGUGUGGGUUGGUUGGCAGCAUUUGGGGACUUUAGCUUUUUGACCAGUGUGAUGGCACUUGCCUGUCCUUGGGUCUACAUGGUGCUGUGCACUCUGCCUUCCUCAGCUGCGGCUCCUUCAGGGAAGAGUAGGUGAUAGCACUCUGUCGGUCGGGGCUGGAGGUUCCCUCGCCCACGAUCGCCCAUGACCGCCCCAGUACCAG